RNAcentral lists this ribosomal RNA (207 nucleotides) under uncultured bacterium. RNAcentral's name for it is "partial 16S ribosomal RNA". It matches the Rfam family "Bacterial small subunit ribosomal RNA", at positions 568 to 774 of the family's 1533-position model. The record is from RNAcentral.
CGUGUAGGCGGAUUGAUAAGUUUGAAGUGAAAUCCUAUAGCUUAACUAUAGAACUGCUUUGAAAACUGUUAAUCUAGAAUGUGGGAGAGGUAGAUGGAAUUUCUGGUGUAGGGGUAAAAUCCGUAGAGAUCAGAAGGAAUACCGAUUGCGAAGGCGAUCUACUGGAACAAUAUUGACGCUGAGACGCGAAAGCGUGGGGAGCGAACA